UAAAUUUGCAAUAUAUGUUAC
Molecule: non-coding RNA, 21 nt
Filed under: Caenorhabditis elegans
Lineage: Eukaryota; Metazoa; Nematoda; Chromadorea; Rhabditida; Rhabditidae
Source: RNAcentral